AGAACGAACGCUGGCGGCAUGCCUAAUACAUGCAAGUCGAACGAACUCUUCGGAGUUAGUGGCGCACGGGUGCGUAACGCGUGGGAAUCUGCCCCUUGGUUCGGAAUAACAGUUGGAAACGACUGCUAAUACCGGAUGAUGACGAAAGUCCAAAGAUUUAUCGCCAAGGGAUGAGCCCGCGUAGGAUUAGCUAGUUGGUGAGGUAAAGGCUACGACCAAGGCAACGAUCCUUAGCUGGUCUGAGAGGAUGAUCAGCCACACGUGGGACUGGAGACACGGCCCAGACCUCCGUACGGGAGCAGCAGGUAGGGAAUAGUGGACAAGUGGGACGAAAGCCUAGACUCCAGCAAUGCCGACGUGAGUGAGUGGAAGGUCCGUUAGGUUAGUAAAGCGUUACGUUUACCGAGUA
RNAcentral lists this ribosomal RNA (409 nucleotides) under uncultured soil bacterium. Its description in RNAcentral is "bacterial SSU rRNA". It matches the Rfam family "Bacterial small subunit ribosomal RNA", at positions 26 to 448 of the family's 1533-position model. The record is from RNAcentral.